GACGAACGCUGGCGGCGUGCUUAACACAUGCAAGUCGAACGGAAAGGCCCUGCUUUUGUGGGGUGCUCGAGUGGCGAACGGGUGAGUAACACGUGAGUAACCUGCCCUUGACUUUGGGAUAACUUCAGGAAACUGGGGCUAAUACCGGAUAGGAGCUCCUGCUGCAUGGUGGGGGUUGGAAAGUUUCGGCGGUUGGGGAUGGACUCGCGGCUUAUCAGCUUGUUGGUGGGGUAGUGGCUUACCAAGGCUUUGACGGGUAGCCGGCCUGAGAGGGUGACCGGCCACAUGGGGACUGAGAUACGGCCCAGACUCCUACGGGAGGAAGCAGUGGGGAAUAUUGCACAAUGGGCGGAAGCCUGAGGCAGCAACGCCGCGUGCGGGAUGACGGCCUUCGGGUGUAAACCGCUUUCGCCUGUGACGAAGCGUGAGUGACGGUAAUGGGUAAAGAAGCACCGGCUAACUACGUG
This 467-nucleotide ribosomal RNA is filed under the name uncultured bacterium. Its description in RNAcentral is "partial 16S ribosomal RNA". It matches the Rfam family "Bacterial small subunit ribosomal RNA", at positions 28 to 507 of the family's 1533-position model. The record is from RNAcentral.